CCUACGGGAGGCUGUAGUGGGGAAUAUUGGACAAUGGGCGAAAGCCUGAUCCAGCCAUGCCGCGUGUGUGAAGAAGGCCUUCGGGUUGUAAAGCACUUUCAGUGGGGAAGAAAGCCUUGGGGCUAAUACCCUCGAGGAAGGACAUCACCCACAGAAGAAGCACCGGCUAACUCCGUGCCAGCAGCCGCGGUAAUACGGAGGGUGCGAGCGUUAAUCGGAAUUACUGGGCGUAAAGCGCGCGUAGGCGGUCUGAUAAGCCGGUUGUGAAAGCCCCGGGCUCAACCUGGGAACGGCAUCCGGAACUGUCAGGCUAGAGUGCAGGAGAGGAAGGUAGAAUUCCCGGUGUAGCGGUGAAAUGCGUAGAGAUCGGGAGGAAUACCAGUGGCGAAGGCGGCCUUCUGGACUGACACUGACGCUGAGGUGCGAAAGCGUGGGUAGCAAACAGGAUUAGAUACCCUAGUAGUC
Molecule: ribosomal RNA, 465 nt
Filed under: Vreelandella stevensii
Lineage: Bacteria; Pseudomonadati; Pseudomonadota; Gammaproteobacteria; Oceanospirillales; Halomonadaceae
Description: partial 16S ribosomal RNA
Rfam family: Bacterial small subunit ribosomal RNA
Source: RNAcentral